Molecule: long non-coding RNA, 734 nt
Organism: Lagenorhynchus albirostris (white-beaked dolphin)
Lineage: Eukaryota; Metazoa; Chordata; Mammalia; Artiodactyla; Delphinidae
Exons: 3
Source: RefSeq, a predicted model, not a curated record
GUGUGGUCGGGGCUGGCUCACGGUGUUCUCUCCAGGGACCCGGCGGCACCGUCGGGAUCUACAGGGCGGCGGGACCGCGAGCCGGUGACAUCCUCCUCCCUCGGAACGGAGCUGAUGCUGCGGACUCUUCCCAACCAGAAGUGCGAGGACCUGCUUGAGCCCAGCUUCAUAUAUACCACUUCCACUUGAUGAUGGCAUGCUGCUGUGUGCCCAGCUUUAUGGCUUGGUGGGUCAGAUGGCACCCAGUUCAUGAUGGACAGCUCAGGUCACAAGGGAACUUGCUGGCCCAUGGCCAAGCAGUCAAGUUCUGAAUCCCACUAAGCCACCAUCUUGGAUGCUAGGAAGCGAUGCAGGCUGGCGUUCACGGCCCUCCACUUGGCUCUCCCUCCACAUCCAGCCUCCUACAGCCAAACCUGAAUCCACCUCUACAGUCAGUCACCAUUAACCCCUGCAUCCCCAUCGCAACUGAAGCUGACGAGGACUAGGCAACUCCAUGCGCCAGAGACUCCAAGAGCUACAUGAGGUGGCUGUGUUACUGAGUGGUUGAGUCUGGAGCCAGACAACCCAGAUCUGAAACUGGCUCCCCCCCCAUUAGCUAGAUAACCAGGACCACGUUACUUUAUCUCUCUGUGCUUUGGUUUCCUCAGGUUACCUCUCUGUGCCUCCGUUGCCAUUCUUCAAAAUGGGACUGUUUUAAAGAUGAAAUUAAUUAGUAUAAAUAAAUUGUGUAGAAU